UUAAAUUUUAAAUUUAUUUUUAAAAUUUUAAAAUUUAAUUCUAAAUUUAAAUUUAAAAUUUUAAAUUUUUUAUUUUUAAAUUUUAAAUUUUAAAAUUUUAAAAUUAAAUUUAGAUUUUUGUAUUUAAAUUUUAAAUUUUUAAAUUUUUAAUUUCAAAUUUUAAAUUUUCAAAUUUAAAAUUUAAAAUUUAAAAUUUAAAAUUUGACAUUUCACAUAUCAAAUUUUAAAUUUUAAAUUUCGUUGAAAUUUUAAAUUUAAAUUUUAACUUUUAAUUUUAAAAUUUAGAAAAAUUCUGUGAAAUUGAACAAUGUACAUCCAAACAGUUUAAAAAUUAAAUCCGUAGAUUUUUUUAGAGUUACAGGAUUCCUAUUUCAUUCGGACCAAAACCACAGUUUAUAAAAUCCGUGGAGAUUUUUUACUGUGCAUCCAAACAGGCCCUUAAUAGACAAAAAAUAUAGAUCUAAAAUU
RNAcentral lists this long non-coding RNA (468 nucleotides) under Ananas comosus (pineapple). RNAcentral describes it as "long non-coding RNA (ACOM_LNC006116)". The record is from RNAcentral. Lineage: Eukaryota; Viridiplantae; Streptophyta; Magnoliopsida; Poales; Bromeliaceae.